Molecule: ribosomal RNA, 254 nt
Filed under: uncultured bacterium
Lineage: Bacteria
Description: partial 16S ribosomal RNA
Rfam family: Bacterial small subunit ribosomal RNA
Source: RNAcentral
UACGGGGGGGGCAAGCGUUGUUCGGAAUUACUGGGCGUAAAGGGCUCGUAGGCGGCCAACUAAGUCAGACGUGAAAUCCCCCGGCUUAACCUGGGAACUGCGUCUGAUACUGGACGGCUUGAGUAUGGGAGAGGAACGUAGAAUUCCAGGUGUAGCGGUGAAAUGCGUAGAUAUCUGGAGGAAUACCGGUGGCGAAGGCGGCGUUCUGGACUUCUCACCGACGCUCAGGCACGAAAGCGUGGGGAUCAAACAGG